Long non-coding RNA from Bos taurus (domestic cattle), 1406 nucleotides. Lineage: Eukaryota; Metazoa; Chordata; Mammalia; Artiodactyla; Bovidae. The record is from Ensembl.
GGACAGGUUCCCCUCAGGGACGGGUUCCCCUUGUGGACGGGUUCCCCUCGGGGGACGGGUUACCCUCCGGGGAUGGGUUCCCCUUGGGGGAUGGGUUACCCUCCGGGGAUGGGUUCCCCUCUGGAAAUGGGUUACCCUGAGGGUAUGGGUUACCCUCCGGGGACAGGUUACCCUCUGGGGACAGGUUACCCUCAGGGGACGAGUUCCCCUCCGGAGAUGGGUUCCCCUCUGGGUACGGGUUACCCUCUGGGAACAGGUUACCCUCGGGGGAUGGGUUACCCUCGGGAGAUGGGUUACUUCGGGGGAUGGGUUACCCUCGGGGGACGGGUUACCCCUCAGAGAUGGGCUAGGGUGCUGAAGAUUCUCCGUCACUUCUCUCGUGGAGACGCUUCCUCACCUUUCUCUGAAAUCUGAGUCUGUCUUUCUGUCCGACAGUGGAGCACGAUGGAUGCGACACUAUGCUGGUUCUGGGCCUGAUAGUUUCUUCUUUCAUGCUUUUGGGAGCCCUGAGCUCCCGUGUGGAAAGUCCAGCUCCCCUGAUGGAGACACAGCUGGGAAGACCCAGAGUCAGAGAGGCCCUGAGAGAGUCCUGCUGACCAACUCUACACACACAGGUGAGCUGUCUUGCACCCUGUUGCCGGAUCAGGUCUCCAGAUGACGACAGAUCCAGAUGUGUCAUGUCGAGCAGAAGACUCACGGAACUGAGCCCAGUCAGCCCACAGAAUCAUGGCAGAUCAUCACAGAGGAUCUUGUUCUAAGACGCUAAACGCUGGGGCAGUUCGCUUUAUGUGACCACAUGCCUCCUCCCCUUCUGGUAAUAGAGCAUCCUUGGGAGAUGCCCUUUCACCUGCUCACCGGGGGGGUGGUACCAACCCUAUUAACACCUUGUUCCUUCAGUCCCAGGAAGGGUUGGGACCCAGGCCCAGUCAAGAUAAUAUUAAACCACAUGGCAGUAGUGAUUGGCUUGGCGAUGGUAUGUGACCCUAGAAGAACCAGUCAGGGCCCUUCCUGGGGUUGAUAUGUUGUUGAUGGGCGAGAGAAGCUAUGUCUCCUGCGUUUGCUGAGCUGGGGUGAUGUGAACCCAGAAGCUGUCUGUGGUCCUGUUCCCCACCUGCCUCCGCAUGCCAGCUGGAAGUAGGUCGAUUCCAGCUGUGGUCUGAGAGGACUCGAAGGUGGUGCAGUGACUGCUGGGCCAGCUCUCUCCCUGGACUUUAUCGUUUCAUGAGUUACAUGUUCUUUCUCCUUUAAACUGGUUUGAGGAGGUUUCCGUCACUGGAACCGAUGGGACGCAUCACACUGACUCUAUUUCUUGGCUUUAAAUGGCUUACGCAGCGUUGUUCUAUCUCAGAGGCUCCAUCCUCACGGGAAAGGAAAGAAAAGCUGAUAUUACUGGCAGCUCAAGCUUG